AAAUCUUAAACUUAUGAGUAAGGAAAAUAACAAUUCGGAGUGAUGCCCAAAUCCUCACUGCUAAUGUGAGAUGAAUUUUUGAGCAGGUAAAGGUUGCCCCUAAGGUGACCCACCUACUUUGCUGGAUGCCUGGGAGUCGCAAUCUGCCUG
Molecule: small nuclear RNA, 150 nt
Organism: Carlito syrichta (Philippine tarsier)
Lineage: Eukaryota; Metazoa; Chordata; Mammalia; Primates; Tarsiidae
Gene: U12
Rfam family: U12 minor spliceosomal RNA
About the family: Although the U12 sequence is very divergent from that of U2, the two are functionally analogous.
Source: Ensembl